AACGUAGGUGGCGAGCGUUAUCCGGAUUUACUGGGCGUAAAGCGUGUGCAGGCGGGGAUACAAGUGGGGUAUGAAAUUUCCCGGCUUAACCGGGAAGGGUUAUGCCAGACUGUAUUUCUGGAGUGCGAGAGAGGGGCGUGGAAUUCCGGGUGUAGUGGUGAAAUGCGUAGAGAUCGGAAAGAACACCAACGGCGAAAGCACUCUGCUGGGCCGACACUGACACUGAGAGACGAAAGCUAGGGGAGCGAAUGGG
Molecule: ribosomal RNA, 253 nt
Filed under: uncultured bacterium
Lineage: Bacteria
Description: partial 16S ribosomal RNA
Rfam family: Bacterial small subunit ribosomal RNA
Source: RNAcentral